Molecule: ribosomal RNA, 486 nt
Filed under: uncultured bacterium
Lineage: Bacteria
Description: partial 16S ribosomal RNA
Rfam family: Bacterial small subunit ribosomal RNA
Source: RNAcentral
GAUGAACGCUGGCGGUAUGCCUAAUACAUGCAAGUCGAGCGGAAAGGCCCCUUCGGGGGUACUCGAGCGGCGGACGGCAGAGUAACGCGUAGGAACGUACCCCAAACUGAGGGAUAACUGCUCGAAAGAGUAGCUAAUACCGCAUGUGGUCUUCGGACUAAGGCCUUCGGGCGGUUUGGGAACGGCCUGCGUUCGAUUAGGUAGUUGGUGAGGUAAAGGCUCACCAAGCCGACGAUCUGUAGCUGGUCUGAGAGGACGACCAGCCACACUGGGACUGAGACAUGGCCCAGACUCCUACGGGAGGCAGCAGUGGGGAAUUUUGGACAAUGGACGCAAGUCUGAUCCAGCCAUUCCGCGUGCAGGACGAAGGCCUUCGGGUUGUAAACUGCUUUUGUACAGAACGAAAAGGUCUCUAUUAAUACUGGGGGCUCAUGACGGUACUGUAAGAAUAAGCACCGGCUAACUACGUGCCAGCCGCCGCAGUAA